AUUGAACGCUGGCGGCAGGCCUAACACAUGUAAGUCGAGCGGAUGAAGGGAGCUUUCUCCUGGAUUCAGCUGCGGACGGGUGAGUAAUGCCUAGGAAGCUGCCUGGUAUUGGGGGAUAACGUCCGGAAACGGGCGCUAAUACCGCAUACGUCCUGAGGGAGAAAGUGAGGGAUCUUCGGACCUCACGCUAUCAGAUGAGCCUAGGUCGGAUUAGCUAGUUGGUGGGGUAAAGGCCUACCAAGGCGACGAUCCGUAACUGGUCUGAGAGGAUGAUCAGUCACACUGGAACUGAGACACGGUCCAGACUCCUACGGGAGGCAGCAGUGGGGAAUCUUGGACAAUGGGCGAAAGCCUGAUCCAGCCAUGCCGCGUGUGUGAAGAAGGUCUUCGGAUUGUAAAGCACUUUAAGUUGGGAGGAAGAGCAGUAAGUUAAUACCUUGCUGUUUUGACGUUACCAACAGAAUAAGCACCGGCUAACUUCGUG
This 484-nucleotide ribosomal RNA is filed under the name uncultured bacterium. Its description in RNAcentral is "partial 16S ribosomal RNA". It matches the Rfam family "Bacterial small subunit ribosomal RNA", at positions 30 to 507 of the family's 1533-position model. The record is from RNAcentral.